UCUUCUGCUUUCAGGCUUGUGGCCUGUGUUCAAAAAAAACCGUGAAGAAUGAAGACAGAGAAGGUCCCAGGGAAGGCACCCCGGUCCUCCUCUGGCAUUCCUGACUCCCAGCCCCAGACUCCAUCCCAGGGGCUGCCUGGACUCCAGAGGACUUCAACCCACAGUCAAUCGUGUGGGGGGAGAGCUUGGGGGCAGGAGCAAGGAGCUGUGUCUUUGACCCUGAGCGCAUCUGCAACCCCCUAGCACCAGGGAUGCAGGGGGAUGGGUGAAACCCAAGGGACAACUGCCUGUCUCCUGGAGAGCAGGGGAGGAGCAGAUGGGUGUAGAGGGGGUGCCUUGAACCUAAGUUGAUGACGUUGGCUCAGUGCCAGGAUGGACAGGCUGAGGCGGGUGUUGAGGACAACCAAGGUAGGCUGCGUGCCAGAAGAGAGCAGCAGGGGGCCUGGGCGGGAACAUUCGGGCCCUGCCUGCACUGACAAGGAGGGGGCCAUCAAGGCAAGGAAGUGGCUGUACCCCAUGUGCUAGCAAAGAAAACCAGCAGCUCCCAGCCCCAAGGAAGAGAAGGAAAAGAAACCCACAACCUCCAGGUCCAAGUGGAGGGGACCCUGGGUGUGCCCAGGCAGCCAGGAGCCAUCAAAAGAAGAGCACCAGACAGAAGAACCAUGUUGCCCCUUGCCCAGGGCAUGGAGCAGCCACUGCAACCUGGUAGGUCCCCCUGCCAAUGUCCUGUCCCACAAGCCAGCCACUGGCAUGUGCGGGCACAAGCUCCAUGGCACUGACCCUGGGCUCUCCCUCCCCUUCCUGGUCACACAGAGGAUGCACACGGGGAACCUGGAGGACCUACUGUGGUGCCUUCUGUCCAGCUUGGGCAGCUGAAUUUCCUGUGGGAGAGGCUGGGCUUGGGGAGGGAUGGCUACCAGCCCUGUGAACUGCACAAGCCUCUCUCAAUGCGUUUGGAGCUGUAAGGCAGACAGCCAAGCCAGAGCUCAAAGCCUCAGCCCUGAGGAGGAGGGCACAGCCAAUGGUGCUCUGUACAGCAGGGGCAUGUGCCUGUUGAUCUUGAAGUCUUCUUCCCACUGCAAUUCACAUUCUGGAUGGAGGCGCCAGAUGGCCAGCACUGAGUCCUGGGCAUGAGGACCAGCACCACUGUCAUCUCCUUUGCAGUCCAUCUUCUCCCACAAUUUGAGGGCUCCCCUAACAUGCCUGAGGUGGGGGACACGGCAGCACACCUGGGUCUGUCCAUCAGUGACAGCUGCAAUACCAUGGAGAGCUUGUAUUGCCUCGCUCAAAUCCUCCUGCACCAGAGGGGUAAGGAGACCUAGGUAGAGCUCAGGACUGUGAUGCAAACUGUGCCCCCCCACAAAGCCUGAUCCAAAACUGGGCUCAGAGCCUUGUGUCUCCACUUCUCCCAGGCCAAGACAUGCGAGGGGCAGAUGAGCUGUUCUGUGAGUGCCAGAUGGAACCAAGCCAGGUCCAGGGCUACAGGGACCUGGCAAGAGUUGGAGAGGGGCUGAGAAAGAUCUGGUAGGAGAAACAAAAGAGAUUGUUCCUGCAGAGGGCCAUUCUAGCAAUUCAUCAAGGGCUGCUGCAUGUCAAGACAGCUGGUCUGGUCUUCCUGUAUGCCAUCCUGGGGGAAGCCAGCCACUUGAUCGGGGACAAGGUCAGCAGGUGCCUUGGGUGCAGGGGAAUGAGACAGGAUCCCUCGCCUCUUUGCCAUGUAUUGUCACUCUCAACUCAUAACAAGGAGCAGAGAGAGGUCAUUAGCCACAGGAGUCUGAGCUCCAGCACAAGACAGGGUUCAUUUGCACCUUAUAGAUUAACUGAAUCUGUGAGAUAUGUAUAUUUAGCUACAAAUAUGGUGACCCUGAGGUCACUUGUCUAUAAAGUGCAACUCUUCCCUGACUUCUGAAGAAACUGGCCUCUAGGAGAAUGGGCCAGUCAAGUAAUUUGGAUAGAACAAUUAAUUUUUUCAUUGUUUUUCACAAUGCCUGAGCGUGAUGGCACCUGCCUGUCCCUUGCAUGUGUCAUGUCCCACAGGGUGAAGGUCUCUGGCCAAGCCCAAAGAUAAAAAGCACACCACCAUCAGAAAAGCUUCCCCAUCCCAGCCUCUGGUCAGGAUUGCUUAGGAGCUGCACAGGACCCAGGUUGCUACAAGUGCACCAGCUCCAGAAACUCUUAGAAGAGCAGGUCUAAAAUGGACCCCAGGGGGUCAUCUCGCCCAGCCUCCUGCUCGAGGCAGGAUCAUGCCCACCUCAACAAGCUGGACAGGUGUCUGUCUAAGCUUAUCCUCAAAGCCUUAGGAACAACCUCAGGCACAAUGACCAGACAUCUCACACCUGAGGCAUCACAAAUGAGCUUUAAGUUGCCACAGGUACUGCAGAGAGAGAGAGGGCACUGUCACUGUCCUACCACUGCAAGGGUGCCAAACAGCGCUCUGGAGAUCCAAGACCAGGCCCUCACUGCAGGGGAAGGCAGGAACUCCCAUGGGCCAUGCCCAACUGAGCAGGUGGAAACAUUUCUCCUGGUCCUAAACAAGCCCAUGGGUCUGCACCUCCACCUCCGCAGAGCCAGCCCAAUCGCAGGUAGCAGGCUGAAAAUGGAUUCUGUUGCAGAGAUAGAAAGGCCAGGCCCUGGGCAAACAGGCUGGGGGCCAUUUCUCCUGCUGCCCCUGAGCCUGCACUUGCCUUAUGAAGAAUACAGGAUUCUGCCCAUAGGCACUGCCGAACUGCCCCAUUGCCCUGGGCUGCCACCCCCUGCCUUCCCCAGGACUCAAUGACAAUGUUCCCUGCAGGAACCUGUCCACAUUUCACUGGGCUACUGCCAAAACCCCUUAGUUUCCGCCCAAUUCCUGCCCCAUGGACUCAUGCUGAGGAGGUGCAGGACAGGCAUGUGGGGAGUGGGGCAGGAGCUCUGGCUAUUGAGGGCUGAGAAUUCGACUGUGAAGGUCGCUAGGGAGGCAGAGAAGAGUCUGUCUCAGACAUUGGGGGGAAUCCAUCUCUUAGGGGCUGGGUGGAGAUUGUCUUGGGUCUGGGGGCCUUGAUCCCUUCCCCCCAUGCCCCAUCCUUGCUGGGGGUAGUAGAGGCAGCUCUGGCUGGCUCUUGUGCCCCUGCAGGAGGAAAUCUCCAUCAGGGUGUUGAGGAAGCUGGUUCUCAUGAAGUGCUGCAAAGAGCUGCCCAAAGAGCUGCAAAGGCUGCUAGCUAGCUCCUCCUUUUGUUGGUCACCAUUUGGGGCCAGGAAGGAAUUUUUUCCUCCCUCAUCUAUAGAACUAUCUUCUGGGGGAGUUGCCUUCCUCUGAGGCAUUGGGGCAUCGUCAAAUCAUCACGGCAUCUGUUGUCUUAGCAACCUGCCUUAGUGCACCUGCCUCAAGGGAGAAUUCUUUGAUGGCCAUGGAGGGAGAGAAAAAAGCAAAGGCAAAAUGUAUAUUGUGGAACACAGAAGUUACAGGUAGAGGUAGAGUAAUAAAGUUGAAAUUAAGUUUCCUUUUCUUAUAAGUGUCGGUGUUCAUCUCAUAUUCCUGUGUGAAACAAAAACUCAUGACAUACAAUGAA
Alligator mississippiensis (American alligator) is the source of this 3548-nucleotide long non-coding RNA. RefSeq lists it as uncharacterized. Lineage: Eukaryota; Metazoa; Chordata; Crocodylia; Alligatoridae. The transcript has 3 exons. The record is from RefSeq and is a predicted model, not a curated record.